GNNNCACUUGGGUGGAACCCUGGUUUUUGUGCCUGAANACACGCAAGUNCGAGNCGAAUCGANGGGUAGUCUUGCUCCCUGNNNAUUAGCGGCGGACGGGUGAGUAACACGUGGGCAACCUGCCUAUAAGACUGGGAUAACUUCGGGAAACCGGAGCUAAUACCGGAUACGUUCUUUUCUCGCAUGAGAGAAGAUGGAAAGACGGUUUACUCUGUCACUUAUAGAUGGGCCCGCGGCGCAUUAGCUAGUUGGUGAGGUAAUGGCUCACCAAGGCGACGAUGCGUAGCCGACCUGAGAGGGUGAUCGGCCACACUGGGACUGAGACACGGCCCAGACUCCUACGGGAGGCAGCAGUANGGAAUCUUCCGCANUGGACGAAAGUCUGACGGAGCAACGCCGCGUGAACGAAGAAGGCCUUCGGGUCGUAAAGUUCUGUUGUUAGGGAAGAACAAGUACCAGAGUAACUGCUGGUACCUUGACGGUACCUAACCAGAAAGCCNCGGCUAACUACGUGCCAGCAGCCGCGGUAAUACGUAGGUGGCAAGCGUUG
Molecule: ribosomal RNA, 550 nt
Filed under: bacterium OTU6
Lineage: Bacteria
Description: partial 16S ribosomal RNA
Rfam family: Bacterial small subunit ribosomal RNA
Source: RNAcentral